UACGUUCCCGGGUCUUGUACACACCGCCCGUCAAACCAUGAAAGUCGGCAAUACCUGACGUAUGAGCUUUGUCUCGUCCUAAGGUAGGGCAGAUGAUUGGGGUU
This 104-nucleotide ribosomal RNA is filed under the name uncultured bacterium. Its description in RNAcentral is "partial 16S ribosomal RNA". It matches the Rfam family "Bacterial small subunit ribosomal RNA", at positions 1367 to 1482 of the family's 1533-position model. The record is from RNAcentral.